This 2903-nucleotide ribosomal RNA is filed under the name Escherichia coli. RNAcentral describes it as "23S ribosomal RNA". It matches the Rfam family "Bacterial large subunit ribosomal RNA". Lineage: Bacteria; Pseudomonadati; Pseudomonadota; Gammaproteobacteria; Enterobacterales; Enterobacteriaceae. The record is from RNAcentral.
GGUUAAGCGACUAAGCGUACACGGUGGAUGCCCCGGCAGUCAGAGGCGAUGAAGGACGUGCUAAUCUGCGAUAAGCGUCGGUAAGGUGAUAUGAACCGUUAUAACCGGCGAUUUCCGAAUGGGGAAACCCAGUGUGAUUCGUCACACUAUCAUUAACUGAAUCCAUAGGUUAAUGAGGCGAACCGGGGGAACUGAAACAUCUAAGUACCCCGAGGAAAAGAAAUCAACCGAGAUUCCCCCAGUAGCGGCGAGCGAACGGGGAGCAGCCCAGAGCCUGAAUCAGUGUGUGUGUUAGUGGAAGCGUCUGGAAAGGCGCGCGAUACAGGGUGACAGCCCCGUACACAAAAAUGCACAUACUGUGAGCUCGAUGAGUAGGGCGGGACACGUGGUAUCCUGUCUGAAUAUGGGGGGACCAUCCUCCAAGGCUAAAUACUCCUGACUGACCGAUAGUGAACCAGUACCGUGAGGGAAAGGCGAAAAGAACCCCGGCGAGGGGAGUGAAAAAGAACCUGAAACCGUGUACGUACAAGCAGUGGGAGCACGCUUAGGCGUGUGACUGCGUACCUUUUGUAUAAUGGGUCAGCGACUUAUAUUCUGUAGCAAGGUUAACCGAAUAGGGGAGCCGAAGGGAAACCGAGUCUUAACUGGGCGUUAAGUUGCAGGGUAUAGACCCGAAACCCGGUGAUCUAGCCAUGGGCAGGUUGAAGGUUGGGUAACACUAACUGGAGGACCGAACCGACUAAUGUUGAAAAAUUAGCGGAUGACUUGUGGCUGGGGGUGAAAGGCCAAUCAAACCGGGAGAUAGCUGGUUCUCCCCGAAAGCUAUUUAGGUAGCGCCUCGUGAAUUCAUCUCCGGGGGUAGAGCACUGUUUCGGCAAGGGGGUCAUCCCGACUUACCAACCCGAUGCAAACUGCGAAUACCGGAGAAUGUUAUCACGGGAGACACACGGCGGGUGCUAACGUCCGUCGUGAAGAGGGAAACAACCCAGACCGCCAGCUAAGGUCCCAAAGUCAUGGUUAAGUGGGAAACGAUGUGGGAAGGCCCAGACAGCCGGGAUGUUGGCUUAGAAGCAGCCAUCAUUUAAAGAAAGCGUAAUAGCUCACUGGUCGAGUCGGCCUGCGCGGAAGAUGUAACGGGGCUAAACCAUGCACCGAAGCUGCGGCAGCGACACUAUGUGUUGUUGGGUAGGGGAGCGUUCUGUAAGCCUGUGAAGGUGUGCUGUGAGGCAUGCUGGAGGUAUCAGAAGUGCGAAUGCUGACAUAAGUAACGAUAAAGCGGGUGAAAAGCCCGCUCGCCGGAAGACCAAGGGUUCCUGUCCAACGUUAAUCGGGGCAGGGUGAGUCGACCCCUAAGGCGAGGCCGAAAGGCGUAGUCGAUGGGAAACAGGUUAAUAUUCCUGUACUUGGUGUUACUGCGAAGGGGGACGGAGAAGGCUAUGUUGGCCGGGCGACGGUUGUCCCGGUUUAAGCGUGUAGGCUGGUUUUCCGGGCAAAUCCGGAAAAUCAAGGCUGAGGCGUGAUGACGAGGCACUACGGUGCUGAAGCAACAAAUGCCCUGCUUCCGGGAAAAGCCUCUAAGCAUCAGGUAACAUCAAAUCGUACCCCAAACCGACACAGGUGGUCAGGUAGAGAAUACCAAGGCGCUUGAGAGAACUCGGGUGAAGGAACUAGGCAAAAUGGUGCCGUAACUUCGGGAGAAGGCACGCUGAUAUGUAGGUGAAGUCCCUUGCGGAUGGAGCUGAAAUCAGUCGAAGAUACCAGCUGGCUGCAACUGUUUAUUAAAAACACAGCACUGUGCAAACACGAAAGUGGACGUAUACGGUGUGACGCCUGCCCGGUGCCGGAAGGUUAAUUGAUGGGGUCAGCGCAAGCGAAGCUCUUGAUCGAAGCCCCGGUAAACGGCGGCCGUAACUAUAACGGUCCUAAGGUAGCGAAAUUCCUUGUCGGGUAAGUUCCGACCUGCACGAAUGGCGUAAUGAUGGCCGGGCUGUCUCCACCCGAGACUCAGUGAAAUUGAACUCGCUGUGAAGAUGCAGUGUACCCGCGGCAAGACGGAAAGACCCCGUGAACCUUUACUAUAGCUUGACACUGAACAUUGAGCCUUGAUGUGUAGGAUAGGUGGGAGGCUUGGAAGUGUGGACGCCAGUCUGCAUGGAGCCGACCUUGAAAUACCACCCUUUAAUGUUUGAUGUUCUAACGUUGACCCGUAAUCCGGGUUGCGGACAGUGUCUGGUGGGUAGUUUGACUGGGGCGGUCUCCUCCUAAAGAGUAACGGAGGAGCACGAAGGUUGGCUAAUCCUGGUCGGACAUCAGGAGGUUAGUGCAAUGGCAUAAGCCAGCUUGACUGCGAGCGUGACGGCGCGAGCAGGUGCGAAAGCAGGUCAUAGUGAUCCGGUGGUUCUGAAUGGAAGGGCCAUCGCUCAACGGAUAAAAGGUACUCCGGGGAUAACAGGCUGAUACCGCCCAAGAGUUCAUAUCGACGGCGGUGUUUGGCACCUCGAUGUCGGCUCAUCACAUCCUCGGGGCUGAAGUAGGUCCCAAGGGUAUGGCUGUUCGCCAUUUAAAGUGGUACGCGAGCUGGGUUUAGAACGUCGUGAGACAGUUCGGUCCCUAUCUGCCGUGGGCGCUGGAGAACUGAGGGGGGCUGCUCCUAGUACGAGAGGACCGGAGUGGACGCAUCACUGGUGUUCGGGUUGUCAUGCCAAUGGCACUGCCCGGUAGCUAAAUGCGGAAGAGAUAAGUGCUGAAAGCAUCUAAGCACGAAACUUGCCCCGAGAUGAGUUCUCCCUGACUCCUUGAGAGUCCUGAAGGAACGUUGAAGACGACGACGUUGAUAGGCCGGGUGUGUAAGCGCAGCGAUGCGUUGAGCUAACCGGUACUAAUGAACCGUGAGGCUUAACCUU